RNAcentral lists this ribosomal RNA (670 nucleotides) under uncultured Clostridium sp. RNAcentral describes it as "bacterial SSU rRNA". It matches the Rfam family "Bacterial small subunit ribosomal RNA", at positions 61 to 733 of the family's 1533-position model. The record is from RNAcentral. Lineage: Bacteria; Bacillati; Bacillota; Clostridia; Eubacteriales; Clostridiaceae.
GUCGAACGAUGAAACUUAAAUGAUUUCUUCGAGAAUGAACUUAAGUGGAUUAGUGGCGGACGGGUGAGUAACGCGUGAGUAACCUGCCUUACACAAGGGGAUAGCCGUUGGAAACGACGAAUAAUACCCUAUGAUGUUUCUAUCUCGCAUGAGAUAUUAACCAAAGUGUUAGCGGUGUAAGAUGGACUUGCGUCUGAUUAGCUAGUUGGUGAGAAAAAAGCCCACCAAGGCAACGAUCAGUAGCCGGCUUGAGAGAGUGUACGGCCACAUUGGGACUGAGACACGGCCCAGACUCCUACGGGAGGCAGCAGUGGGGAAUUUUGCACAAUGGGGGAAACCCUGAUGCAGCGACGCCGCGUGAUUUAGAAGGCCUUCGGGUUGUAAAAAUCUUUUGUAUAGGAAGAAAAUGACAGUACUAUACGAAUAAGGUCCGGCUAAUUACGUGCCAGCAGCCGCGGUAAUACGUAAGGACCGAGCGUUGUCCGGAAUCAUUGGGCGUAAAGGGUACGUAGGCGGGUCAUUAAGUUAGAAGUCAAAGGCUAUAGCUCAACUAUAGUAAGCUUCUAAAACUGGAGACCUUGAGUAAUGGAAGGGAAAGUGGAAUUCCUAGUGUAGCGGUGGAAUGCGCAGAUAUUAGGAGGAAUACCGGUGGCGAAGGCGACUUUCUGGC